RNAcentral lists this ribosomal RNA (498 nucleotides) under uncultured bacterium. RNAcentral's name for it is "partial 16S ribosomal RNA". It matches the Rfam family "Bacterial small subunit ribosomal RNA", at positions 28 to 507 of the family's 1533-position model. The record is from RNAcentral.
GACGAACGCUGGCGGCGUGCCUAAUACAUGCAAGUCGAGCGGACGAAUCGAAAGCUUGCUUUUGAUUCGUUAGCGGCGGACGGGUGAGUAACACGUGGGCAACCUGCCCUGUAGACGGGGAUAACACCGAGAAAUCGGUGCUAAUACCGGAUAACACGAAAUGUCGCAUGACGUUUCGUUGAAAGACGGCGCAAGCUGCCGCUACAGGAUGGGCCCGCGGCGCAUUAGCUAGUUGGUGAGGUAACGGCUCACCAAGGCGACGAUACGUAGCCGACCUGAGAGGGUGAUAGGCCACACUGGGACUGAGACACGGCCCAGACUCCUACGGGAGGCAGCAGUAGGGAAUCUUCCGCAAUGGACGAAAGUCUGACGGAGCAACGCCGCGUGAGCGAAGAAGGCCUUCGGGUCGUAAAGCUCUGUUGUUAGGGAAGAACAAGUAACGCAGUAACUGGCGUUACCGUGACGGUACCUAACGAGAAAGCCACGGCUAACUACGUG